RNAcentral lists this ribosomal RNA (104 nucleotides) under Echinodontium tinctorium. RNAcentral describes it as "partial 5.8S ribosomal RNA". It matches the Rfam family "5.8S ribosomal RNA", at positions 54 to 154 of the family's 154-position model. From Rfam's summary of the family: 5.8S ribosomal RNA (5.8S rRNA) is a component of the large subunit of the eukaryotic ribosome. It is transcribed by RNA polymerase I as part of the 45S precursor that also contains 18S and 28S rRNA. Functionally, it is thought that 5.8S rRNA may be involved in ribosome translocation. Lineage: Eukaryota; Fungi; Basidiomycota; Agaricomycetes; Russulales; Echinodontiaceae. The record is from RNAcentral.
UGCGAUAAGUAAUGUGAAUUGCAGAAUUCAGUGAAUCAUCGAAUCUUUGAACGCACCUUGCGCCCUUUGGUAUUCCGAAGGGCACGCCUGUCUGAGUGUCGUGA